Long non-coding RNA from Parus major (Great Tit), 1666 nucleotides. RefSeq lists it as uncharacterized. Lineage: Eukaryota; Metazoa; Chordata; Aves; Passeriformes; Paridae. The record is from RefSeq and is a predicted model, not a curated record. The transcript is spliced from 4 exons.
UUUUCCUGAGCUGUGGUGGAAGCAGGACUUCUCCCUGCCUGUGUGCCUUCUUCUGUGCAUGAUCUGUGGGGAGAUGUGCCCCAGUGCAGGGACUAUGGCAGUGAGCAUUGGUGUCAUCUGUCCUUUUCAGGUACCAGAAAGGUGAAAGUAGCCAGUCAGUUACCACAGGUUGUGCCAGGCCUUGGUGUAUUUACCCUGGUGAGUGAAUUUUGGGCUGCCUUUGCUGUAGCUGUGUGGGGACUGGGAGCCUUUGGUACCCUCUCUAUGUGGGUGCUAUUCACCACAGCCCUGCUUGGCUGCUGAGGGAAGUGACCCAUUCCUGGGCAGGCUGCACAGCUGCCAUGUGGUCCCUUGGCUACACAAGAAAGACAAAUAGCUUGGUCCUGCUGAGUCUAAGAGCUGCUCUCCCUGGGGCACCAGGUCCAACCCUUCUUGCACAUCUUCCUGUAGUGGUUAGUGUAUCCAUAACUCCCUGUCUGGCCUGUUCUGCACCCAUGUGAAAAUGUAUGUCUUUAGGGUCAGAGAGGGGAAAUAAGCAUCAGAUAGGUUGUGAAAUGGUUCAAGCCAGGCAGGAGAAUGAUGAUGUUCAGAGUAACUUGCUCCUGACAAUGAAGCCAGUGCUAAAAACAUGUCCUGCUGAGGCAAGAGAUGGGAUAACCAGCUAACUGCCAUUCCUCCCACCCUGAUCCAGUAUGAUGCUGGUCCUUCUGCUGCUGCUAACGUUAUUUAUCUCACCACCUAAGGGAAUGGUGUUUUCUCCAUCAUUUACCACCUUGAUAAAGUUUAUUUUCUGCUUCACUAGUGGGCUGUAGCAAUAGCAACAAUCACCAGAGUCUCUUGUUGGAAAAACCAGUCAGCACCAAGAACAAGGGAGAGUUUGGUCCAGUUCAGUGGCAUAGAAAAUUGUGCCUGGGCUUUGCAGUGGCCAAGUGCUAUGAGAUUGGUCUGAACAGGGCAGCAAGUGUAGCUGAGCCCCUCUACAGCCUGGAAUGCUGCAGGAGUUGUGCAAGGAUCCCCACAACCUUGUGGGGUGAGUCCCACUUGCUACUGCUGAGGUCACAGAGUGUUUGAAGUCUGGGUAGCUGAGGAAGAUGUGGGCUCCUUGGUGCACUCAUAAGGUGGUGAGAGAAACUGGUGAGCUUUCUAAUGCCUGCCAACCUUAAUCAAACAGCUUCAAGCCUUCACAGAGGGCAUCAGCUCCAAAGUUAAGGAGGGCUGGAGUGGCAUCACUUUGGAUCCAGUCUGAGUCUUGUGGUGACUCAAGUGAAUUAUUCCAGGCUCUCACCAGAGCAAACAGAAUGUAAUCUCUGUGGAUUCUCAGCUCCCAGACCAGUGCUGAAUUCUGGGAAUACCAUGCAGGACAAAACCUAUCAAUGCCCCAGAAAUUCCCGAGGAAAUGAGCUUGACAUCCUUCCACAUUGGGAAGGAAUCAUGCAGUCACAAAUGCCACCAGGCAACUUCUGUGGUUGGACCCUCCUGUCUGUCCCAUAAAAUCUCAAGGUUCAACAGUGACAGUGACCUUCCUUUAAAGGGCUGCAGCAAACAUUGAAGACUUUCUCUCAAUUCACUCUACUCAGAAAACCAUCUGUUAAGUCUGUUAUGAUUUUGGGGUGAGGAUGGAAAAGUAGAGCUUAAAGUAUGGCUGUUCUGUUUAAAAAAAAAAUAA